AACGAACGCUGGCGGCAGGCUUAACACAUGCAAGUCGAACGGGUGCAGCAAUGCAUCAGUGGCAGACGGGUGAGUAACACGUGGGAACCUUCCUAGGGGUACGGAACAACUCAGGGAAACUUGAGCUAAUACCGUAUACGUCCGUGAGGAGAAAGAUUUAUCGCCCUUAGACGGGCCCGCGUCGGAUUAGCUAGUUGGUGGGGUAACGGCCUACCAAGGCGACGAUCCGUAGCUGAUCUUAGAGGAUGAUCAGCCACACUGGGACUGAGACACGGCCCAGACUCCUACGGGAGGCAGCAGUGGGGAAUCUUGGACAAUGGGGGCAACCCUGAUCCGGCCAUGCCGCGUGAGUGAAGAAGGUCUUCGGAUUGUAAAGCUCUUUUGCCAGGGACGAUAAUGACGGUACCUGGAGAAUAAGCCCCGACAAACUUCGUGCCAGCCGCCGCAGUAA
Molecule: ribosomal RNA, 451 nt
Filed under: uncultured bacterium
Lineage: Bacteria
Description: partial 16S ribosomal RNA
Rfam family: Bacterial small subunit ribosomal RNA
Source: RNAcentral